This 448-nucleotide ribosomal RNA is filed under the name uncultured bacterium. Its description in RNAcentral is "SSU rRNA". It matches the Rfam family "Bacterial small subunit ribosomal RNA", at positions 26 to 518 of the family's 1533-position model. The record is from RNAcentral.
AGAACGAACGCUGGCGGCAGGCUUAACACAUGCAAGUCGAACGCGUGUAGCAAUACACGAGUGGCGCACGGGUGAGUAACGCGUGGAUAUCUGCCUUUUGGUUCGGAAUAACCCCGGGAAACUGGGGCUAAUACCGGAUGGUUCCUACGGGAUAAAGAUUUAUCGCCAAAAGAUGAGUCCGCGUACGAUUAGCUAGUUGGUGAGGUAAUGGCUCACCAAGGCGACGAUCGUUAGCUGGUCUGAGAGGACGAUCAGCCACACUGGGACUGAGACACGGCCCAGACUCCUACGGGAGGCAGCAGUGGGGAAUAUUGGACAAUGGGGGCAACCCUGAUCCAGCCAUGCCGCGUGAGUGAUGAAGGCCUUCGGGUUGUAAAGCUCUUUUGUGCGGGAAGAUAAUGACGGUACCGCAAGAAUAAGCCCCGGCUAACUUCGCGCCAGCAGCCGC